GGGGGGGCCUAUACAUGCAAGUCGAACGAGAUUAAGGGGCUUGCUCCUUAUGAAAGUGGCGCACGGGUGCGUAACGCGUAUGCAACCUACCUCAAUCAGGGGGAUAGCCCGAAGAAAUUCGGAUUAACACCGCAUAAAAACACAGGAUAGCAUUAUCUAAUGUUCAAAUAUUUAUAGGAUUGAGAUGGGCAUGCGUGUCAUUAGCUAGUUGGCGGGGUAACGGCCCACCAAGGCGACGAUGACUAGGGGAUCUGAGAGGAUGACCCCCCACACUGGUACUGAGACACGGACCAGACUCCUACGGGAGGCAGCAGUAAGGAAUAUUGGUCAAUGGAGGCAACUCUGAACCAGCCAUGCCGCGUGCAGGAAGACAGCCCUCUGGGUCGUAAACUGCUUUUAUUCGGGAAUAAACCUUAUUACGUGUAAUAAGCUGAAUGUACCGAAGGAAUAAGGAUCGGCUAACUCCGUGCCAGCAGCCGCGGUAAUACGGAGGAUCCAAGCGUUAUCCGGAUUUAUUGGGUUUAAAGGGUGCGUAGGCGGCUUAUUAAGUCAGGGGUGAAAGACGGUGGCUCAACCAUCGCAGUGCCUUUGAUACUGAUGAGCUUGAAUGAACUAGAGGUAGGCGGAAUGUGACAAGUAGCGGUGAAAUGCAUAGAUAUGUCACAGAACACCGAUUGCGAAGGCAGCUUACUAUGGUUUUAUUGACGCUGAGGCACGAAAGCGUGGGGAUCAAACAGGAUUAGAUACCCUGGUAGUCCACGCCCUAAACGAUGAAUACUCGCUGUUAGCGAUAUACAGUUAGCGGCUAAGCGAAAGCGUUAAGUAUUCCACCUGGGGAGUACGCCCGCAAGGGUGAAACUCAAAGGAAUUGACGGGGGCCCGCACAAGCGGAGGAGCAUGUGGUUUAAUUCGAUGAUACGCGAGGAACCUUACCCGGGCUUGAAAGUUAGUGAAUGAUCUAGAGAUAGAUCAGUGAGCAAUCACACGAAACUAGGUGCUGCAUGGCUGUCGUCAGCUCGUGCCGUGAGGUGUUGGGUUAAGUCCCGCAACGAGCCGCAACCCCUAUGUUUAGGUGCCAGCACGUAAAGGUGGGGGACUCUAACCAGACUGCCUGUGCAAACCAGAGAAGAAGGAGGGGACGACGUCCAGUC
This 1151-nucleotide ribosomal RNA is filed under the name bacterium. RNAcentral's name for it is "bacterial SSU rRNA". It matches the Rfam family "Bacterial small subunit ribosomal RNA", at positions 41 to 1191 of the family's 1533-position model. The record is from RNAcentral.